GAUUAUAUUAAUAUAUUUUGUCGUGAUAAACCAUCCUGAAUUUCUGUAUUGCAUGCAUUUGACUUGAUAAUAUUUUAUUUAGAAUGUCUGCAUGUGUCUUCUUGAAGGAUAUUGCACUACAACUUAACCUUGCGUCCGUGUUCAUGUUGGUAUUUUCUUUCUAGGUUUUUCUCACCCCAUAAAAUAUGUUAUAGAGUAGUCCAUCUAUUUCUCCUCCAUGGAAGAGUUCAUCUGGUAGAUUGGACUACCACUUUUCCUUGUGGAGACCUAUUCUGUUGGGUUAGAGAUGACAGAAAAUCUUAUUUGUCGGUUGGUUUGUUUGUUCAAGAAUACACUGACCUUCUACAAGAAAGGAGAGCUCUUUGACACCUGGAAAUAGUAAAAGACAAGCUUCUGUGGAAAGGGCAACAAACACUAUCACCCUCAGACCAGAGGUGAACAUCCUUUGCAGCAAGGUGAAAGAGACACAAAACACCCUCUGCCCUUGAAGGAGAGACAGGAGAUGCCUCUGUUGGCUUCUCUGCUGCUUAACAGAAGUCAUGAGAUGCCUGGCCCAUAUUACCAAAUGCCUGACUUAAGAAAAAAAAUGUAAACAAAAGACAGAGAUUGGAAGCAUCAGAAUUUUAUUCCAGUGACUCAAUCCCCAUUGUGUGAAGUAGACCAGAAUGAAUAAAUUGAACUUACUCAGCACCUCAAUUAUUAAAUGUAUCCACAGAAAUUCAUUCUGUCAAGUUAACUGUGGAGGUUGUUGUUGCUAUUGCAGACUAAAUGGUUUUCCUGGGAACUCUGACUCUGGCCACAAGAUGAAGACUGACAAAUUUCCUUUCUCUGUUUAUGGAGGGAGACUUCACAACAUUCACUGAAAGAGGAGCAAAGGACCUGGUUUUUGCCAUGACUGGCUUUGGCCCUGUGAAUGAAUGUUUUUCUGGCAUUGGAAAGCAGAUAGCAAAGAGAGCAGAACCACAAAUGGGCUAUGAGGAAAUGUGUUCAAUGAAGAAAACAAAAUCUCUGACAAGAUCCAACAUAGGACAACAUCUCAGCAUCUUCUGUGAUUUGUGAACCCAAGCAAAGCACUUCUUAGAGUUAUCUGGCACAUUCGCAACUAAUAGCUUUCCAUGAAUAAAUACUGUGGCAACCACAUUAACUGUACAAAAACAAACUGCUUAUUUCUUAUAUCCGUGCUGGAAGAUUAUCUGGCUGGCCUAUCAGCUGUGAUGUCAGGAAUGUCAGCCAGUUAUCCUAUGGUGCAUUCAGCUGGGUCAUUGUACCCCAUCAGUGAGGCAAUUGCAAAGUUCCAUCUGGACAGAGGUAGAAAAAAUUAUAUUCACUUUGAGUUUUGGAUUUUUUUCUCUUAAUUUUCAAAGAUAAAGACAAUUGCUUUUGGCUUUUAAGAGACACAUCUGGUAUGCCUUGGGCUGGAUGCCAGAUAUUUCUGCUGUUGAGUUUUUAUAACAUUGUAUAGGCCUCAAUAUUUUAGAAUUAGUAUAUGUUUGAUAAAAGUGACUUUUCUAAAGUUUUAGGGAGAAUCUUUUGCUUAGGUGCAGCUGAGUAUUUUUAGUUCAAUACUGCAGAUGGCAUACCAAAUUUAAGAGGAGUUGAGUGACUGCUUCAAGGUUGCACAGCUAGUUCUUGGUAGAUCUGGAAAAGGACCAACAUCUCUUGGCCCUUUGUCAGAUAUUCUUUCUUUGAUUUCACACUGUUUUUAAAGAUGUUUAAUACAUUUUAAAUUAAAAUGGUUAUUUGAAUCUGCUUAAACUAGACAAUACUAAUUGUCAAACAUCCAUUACCCGCUUUUUCUCUAGUAAUAGGUUGGUGCAAAAAGAGUUGCGGUUUUUGCCAUUACUUUUAAUGGCAAAAACCUUAGUUCCUUUUGCACCAGCCUAAUAAUAAAACCCCUAAUUUUAACUUGGCACGUGGCCAACCAGAAUAGAAACUACAUGUUCCUGCUUUGCUUUCAGUAGCAUUAGCUGAAGUAAUCUUCAAUGGGGAUAGGAAAAAUGAGGUGUACAAUUGCCUGGUUGCACUCUUAUAGGAAAGGCAUAACCCUCCAUUUCCCUUUUAUCUUUUCCACUCACUAGAGUAGUGAUCUGGUCAUAAUUCAUUCUGGACCAUGUUGACAGGGCAAUAUACUGGAGAUUGUAGAGAAGAAGUCAGAAGGGACUUGGAUCCCUGAUACUAUGGAACUGUCUUGCAGCCCUAGUUUGCUUAUGUCUAGACUUUUACGUGAGAGAAAAAAUAAACAUUUCUUUGUUUUAACUACUGAUACUUAGAUCUUAGCUACAGCAACUGAACACACAGUGCUAUUUAAUAAUUUGCAAAUGUUAUACUGCCAGUUGAUAUUUUAUAACUACCAAAUUUAAGUGCAGUAAAUGGGCAUUAUGCUUGUUUAAAUGUCUGGCAAUCUUGGAAUUAUACCAUUACCAUCAUAUGUUGCAUGAGAUGGUUUUCCAUUCCAUUUAGAGUCCGUACAAUAACUCAUACAAUGUGUCACUGCUGCUGUCUCUUCUCAGCGGGCUUCAACCAUACUUAUUUCUUUGCCGUUCCUAAACAUUCCAGAUAUACUCUGUUCCUUCCUCAGGGUAAAUGUUGUUUUGUUGGUGGUGUGGUUUUUUUUUUUUAAUUCCUCUGCAGCAAAUCUCUGCCUAGCAUUCUGCAUGUAGUAUUCUGCUUCCACAAUUUUAGAAUUUUGCUCAGUUGUUAUCUUUUCAUUAAGUCCUUUCCUGAUGACGUCAAUAAAUUUCAUUCUCCACUGCCUGGAACUUGUAUAUCCUUUGCAUUUGUAGGUUUUCUCCAUGUUAUUUAUUUCCCUUUUAUUCCUUCUCAUUGAAAUAAAAGCUCUGUGGGAGUGG
Molecule: long non-coding RNA, 2849 nt
Organism: Gorilla gorilla gorilla (western lowland gorilla)
Lineage: Eukaryota; Metazoa; Chordata; Mammalia; Primates; Hominidae
Exons: 5
Source: RefSeq, a predicted model, not a curated record